AUACGUAGGGGGCAAGCGUUCUCCGGAUUUACUGGGUGUAAAGGGAGCGUAGACGGUGUGACGAGUCUGAUGUGAAAACCCGGGGCUCAACUCCGGGAUUGCAUUGGAAACUGCCAUACUUGAGUGCAGGAGAGGUAAGCGGAAUUCCUAGUGUAGCGGUGAAAUGCGUAGAUAUUAGGAGGAACAACGGCGGCGAAGACGACUUACUGGACUGUAAAUGACUUUGAGGCGCGAAAGCGUGAGGAGCAAACAGGAUUAGAUUCCCUGGUAGUCCACGCGGUAAACGAUGAAUACUAGGAGUUGUGAGUCUAUAGACCCUCGGUGCCGCAGCAAACGCAAUAAGUAUUCCACCUGGGGAGUACGUUCGCAAGAAGGAAACUCAAAGAAAUUGACGGGG
This 397-nucleotide ribosomal RNA is filed under the name uncultured bacterium. RNAcentral's name for it is "partial 16S ribosomal RNA". It matches the Rfam family "Bacterial small subunit ribosomal RNA", at positions 523 to 918 of the family's 1533-position model. The record is from RNAcentral.